Long non-coding RNA from Ostrea edulis (European flat oyster), 501 nucleotides. RefSeq lists it as uncharacterized. Lineage: Eukaryota; Metazoa; Mollusca; Bivalvia; Ostreida; Ostreidae. The transcript has 3 exons. The record is from RefSeq and is a predicted model, not a curated record.
CAGAAAUCGUGACGUCAUUUUUCAGAGCGUUUUCUCCGUAAUGAGCGUCAGUAGCAACAAGCGAAGAUCGGGAAUUAUGCCUAUCAGAGAUAAAUUUUCCAUCCAGAGAGGAAGUUCUAAAAUUAUGUAUGAAGAGAGAGGGGAAGACGAAAAUAGUAAGUUGUCCAAUGCGGUGGGGAAAACACGCGAGGUUAGCUUAAGGCGUGUACUUUCUGUUGUUUGAGGGGAACUUUGAAUUCAUGGUACAGUAAAACAAAAACCCAGAAAAGUAGAAAUUUUAUAGUGCAUGUAUUUUGAUAGGAUACAAAAUAUAGAUAUACAUGUACAAGUAUUUUCAAAGAAAUUGAUUUUUCAGAGUACUUAAACGAUGGUGAACUCUUGACAAUACAAGGUGUGGUGAUGUGGUGUUUCGGGGACCUUUCCUACAAAGAAUCGAUUUUUAACAAACUGACAUUAAUGUGGAAAAGGGAAACAAUAAACAAGAUAAAUAAGGUUAAAAUC